GGGCGCGUAGCUCAGCGGGAGAGCACCACGUUGACAUCGUGGGGGUCACAGGUUCGAUCCCUGUCGCGCCCA
Molecule: transfer RNA, 72 nt
Filed under: Candidatus Viadribacter manganicus
Lineage: Bacteria; Pseudomonadati; Pseudomonadota; Alphaproteobacteria; Hyphomonadales; Hyphomonadaceae
Description: Caulobacteraceae bacterium OTSz_A_272 tRNA
Rfam family: tRNA
About the family: Transfer RNA (tRNA) molecules are approximately 80 nucleotides in length.
Source: Rfam by way of RNAcentral